RNAcentral lists this transfer RNA (85 nucleotides) under Micavibrio sp. RNAcentral's name for it is "tRNA-Tyr". It matches the Rfam family "tRNA". Rfam says of the family: Transfer RNA (tRNA) molecules are approximately 80 nucleotides in length. Their secondary structure includes four short double-helical elements and three loops (D, anti-codon, and T loops). The record is from RNAcentral. Lineage: Bacteria; Pseudomonadati; Bdellovibrionota; Bdellovibrionia; Bdellovibrionales; Pseudobdellovibrionaceae.
GGAGGAAUGGCAGAGCGGUCAAAUGCACCUGACUGUAAAUCAGGCGACUUAGUCUACGUUGGUUCGAAUCCAGCUUCCUCCACCA